CCUACGGGGGGCUGCAGUGGGGAAUAUUGGACAAUGGGGGCAACCCUGAUCCAGCCAUGCCGCGUGUGUGAAGAAGGCCCUCGGGUUGUAAAGCACUUUCAGUGAGGAAGAACGCCUGGUGGUUAAUACCCAUCAGGAAAGACAUCACUCACAGAAGAAGCACCGGCUAACUCCGUGCCAGCAGCCGCGGUAAUACGGAGGGUGCGAGCGUUAAUCGGAAUUACUGGGCGUAAAGCGCGCGUAGGUGGCUUGAUAAGCCGGUUGUGAAAGCCCCGGGCUCAACCUGGGAACGGCAUCCGGAACUGUCAAGCUAAAGUGCAGGAGAGGAAGGUAGAAUUCCCGGUGUAGCGGUGAAAUGCGUAGAGAUCGGGAGGAAUACCAGUGGCGAAGGCGGCCUUCUGGACUGACACUGACACUGAGGUGCGAAAGCGUGGGUAGCAAACAGGAUUAGAUACCCCAGUAGUC
This 465-nucleotide ribosomal RNA is filed under the name Vreelandella stevensii. RNAcentral describes it as "partial 16S ribosomal RNA". It matches the Rfam family "Bacterial small subunit ribosomal RNA", at positions 338 to 795 of the family's 1533-position model. Lineage: Bacteria; Pseudomonadati; Pseudomonadota; Gammaproteobacteria; Oceanospirillales; Halomonadaceae. The record is from RNAcentral.